UGGGGAAUUUUGGACAAUGGGCGAAAGCCUGAUCCAGCAAUGCCGCGUGUGUGAAGAAGGCCUUCGGGUUGUAAAGCACUUUUGUCCGGAAAGAAAUCCUUGGCUCUAAUACAGUCGGGGGAUGACGGUACCGGAAGAAUAAGCACCGGCUAACUACGUGCCAGCAGCCGCGGUAAUACGUAGGGUGCAAGCGUUAAUCGGAAUUACUGGGCGUAAAGCGUGCGCAGGCGGUUUGCUAAGACCGAUGUGAAAUCCCCGGGCUCAACCUGGGAACUGCAUUGGUGACUGGCAGGGCUAGAGUAUGGCAGAGGGGGGUAGAAUUCCACGUGUAGCAGUGAAAUGCGUAGAGAUGUGGAGGAAUACCGAUGGCGAAGGCAGCCCCCUGGGCCAAUACUGACGCUCAUGCACGAAAGCGUGGGGAGCAAAACAGGAUUAGAUACCCCUGGUAGUCCACGCCCUAAACGAUGUCAACUAGUUGUUGGGGAUUCAUUUCCUUAGUAACGUAGCUAACGCGUGAAGUUGACCGCCAGGGGAGUACGGUCGCAAGAUUAAAACUUAAAUGAAUUG
RNAcentral lists this ribosomal RNA (567 nucleotides) under uncultured bacterium. Its description in RNAcentral is "partial 16S ribosomal RNA". It matches the Rfam family "Bacterial small subunit ribosomal RNA", at positions 355 to 912 of the family's 1533-position model. The record is from RNAcentral.